UUAUUUGACUAGCAUAGUUGAAAUAAUGAAAAGAAAAGAGUACUAGAGAAUAGUGGAACAAGCUAUCAAAUAGCGUCUGGUGACUUUCAGCUUCACAAAGACAGGGGAAUCAAGAGUUCAGCAUGAAAACAUUCUCUGAAAUGGUCUACUCAUUGGUUGGAUUUUCUGCUUAAAUUGUAGCUAAUGAGAAUCAAGAUUCAUCCAAUUUUGGCAUAUGAGGAAAAAAAAAAGAAGCAAGAUUCAUGUCAUAUGGCACAGAAUGAAGUAAUUUUCCAGACGGGCAAUCAAUAUUUCAUUUUAGACCAUGAAAACAGAAGCCCAAGCCUAGGAGACUCCAGCCACCUGCCUUCUCAGCGUAUUUACAUCAGUGGCUGACCAUACAUCGGAGGAAAUCAGGUAACUGCAGAUAAAUGUCACAAUAAAUUCAUGGUCUCCACAACCGCAAGGGGGCCCUCACCACUUCUAAGAAAUCCCUUUUUCUAUGUUUCCUCAGCUCUUUUUCAAGAUCCUUUGGUACUUAUUUCAAACAAACAAGCAAGUGUAAUAGUGCUGGCAUCCAGGACAAGCAGUUUCAAAGGCACCCUGAAAACAACUCUAAAUUCAUGUUGUGACUAACAGAUCAGGGUGAUGAUUAUCAACACAGGACAUCUGAAAGCAUCCUUCUUUAACCAGUCAGGCCUCAGGUAUUGAGGCAAGUAGAAAUGUUCUGGGCCUUGGCUGAGGUGGACCAACCGUAUCUUCGCCUUGCUGUUCAACAUUUUGUUGGGCCUAACUUUAAAAUUCAGCUUACGAUCAGCAAGAAUAGUGAAAGGAGGAAGCUUCCCAGUUUUAGGCACCGAAAAAAAAAUUGCUGCCUGACCAGCCAUUGUAGCAAAAGGCGAUUAAGGGUGUUCCAAAACU
This is a long non-coding RNA of Acinonyx jubatus (cheetah), 900 nucleotides long. RefSeq lists it as uncharacterized. NCBI's taxonomy places the organism in Eukaryota, Metazoa, Chordata, Mammalia, Carnivora, Felidae. The transcript is spliced from 3 exons. The record is from RefSeq and is a predicted model, not a curated record.